ACCUACGGGGGGCAGCAGUGAGGAAUUUUCGUCAAUGGGCGCAAGCCUGAACGAGCAAUGCCGCGUGAACGAGGAAGGUCUUCGGACCGUAAAGUUCUGUUGAAGGGGAAAAAGAGCGGAGAGAGGAAAUGGUCUCCGAUUGAUAUUACCCUUCGAGGAAGUCACGGCUAACUACGUGCCAGCAGCCGCGGUAAUACGUAGGUGGCGAGCGUUAUCCGGAAUGAUUGGGCGUAAAGGGUGCGUAGGCGGCCUGCUAAGUCUGGAGUGAAAGGUACCGGCUCAACCGGUACAGGCUCUGGAAACUG
This 305-nucleotide ribosomal RNA is filed under the name uncultured bacterium. RNAcentral describes it as "bacterial SSU rRNA". It matches the Rfam family "Bacterial small subunit ribosomal RNA", at positions 337 to 635 of the family's 1533-position model. The record is from RNAcentral.